GAUGAACGCUGGCGGCGUGCUUAACACAUGCAAGUCGAACGAAACACCUUAUUUGAUUUUCUUCGGAACUGAAGAUUUGGUGAUUGAGUGGCGGACGGGUGAGUAACGCGUGGGUAACCUGCCCUGUACAGGGGGAUAACAGUCAGAAAUGACUGCUAAUACCGCUUAAGACCACAGCACCGCAUGGUGCAGGGGUAAAAACUCCGGUGGUACAGGAUGGACCCGCGUCUGAUUAGCUGGUUGGUGAGGUAACGGCUCACCAAGGCGACGAUCAGUAGCCGGCUUGAGAGAGUGAACGGCCACAUUGGGACUGAGACACGGCCCAAACUCCUACGGGAGGCAGCAGUGGGGAAUAUUGCACAAUGGGGGAAACCCUGAUGCAGCGACGCCGCGUGAGUGAAGAAGUAUUUCGGUAUGUAAAGCUCUAUCAGCAGGGAAGAAAAUGACGGUACCUGACUAAGAAGCCCCGGCUAACUACGUG
RNAcentral lists this ribosomal RNA (481 nucleotides) under uncultured bacterium. RNAcentral's name for it is "partial 16S ribosomal RNA". It matches the Rfam family "Bacterial small subunit ribosomal RNA", at positions 28 to 507 of the family's 1533-position model. The record is from RNAcentral.